Molecule: unclassified non-coding RNA, 221 nt
Filed under: uncultured fungus
Lineage: Eukaryota; Fungi
Description: sequence contains ITS1
Source: RNAcentral
GUAUGUUACUCGCUCCGUAGAGCUCGAUUAGACAUGCUUCGUUAACAGGCGUUUGGUUACAAAAGGGAGUGAACGCUUCCCCCCCUUGAAGGGGACACGCUCGCUGGGUGCACAGGUGUUGACGAACCCCACGGCAAGGUGACUUGCGUCGCCCACGUUUGAGCCGUGUGGUAUGUUGUUGACAUUCAUUAAUGAUCCUUCCGCAGGUUCACCUACGGAAA